UGGGGAAUAUUGCACAAUGGGCGAAAGCCUGAUGCAGCAACGCCGCGUGAGGGACGACGGCCUUCGGGUUGUAAACCUCUUUUAGCAAGGAAGAAGCGAAAGUGACGGUACUUGCAGAAAAAGCGCCGGCUAACUACGUGCCAGCAGCCGCGGUAAUACGUAGGGCGCAAGCGUUAUCCGGAAUUAUUGGGCGUAAAGAGCUCGUAGGCGGUUUGUCGCGUCUGCUGUGAAAACCCGAGGCUCAACCUCGGGCCUGCAGUGGGUACGGGCAGACUAGAGUGCGGUAGGGGAGAUUGGAACUCCUGGUGUAGCGGUGGAAUGCGCAGAUAUCAGGAAGAACACCGAUGGCGAAGGCAGAUCUCUGGGCCGUAACUGACGCUGAGGAGCGAAAGGGUGGGGAGCAAACAGGCUUAGAUACCCUGGUAGUCCACCCCGUAAACGUUGGGAACUAGUUGUGGGUCCAUUCCACGGAUUCCGUGACGCAGCUAACGCAUUAAGUUCCCCGCCUGGGGAGUAC
This 517-nucleotide ribosomal RNA is filed under the name uncultured bacterium. RNAcentral's name for it is "partial 16S ribosomal RNA". It matches the Rfam family "Bacterial small subunit ribosomal RNA", at positions 355 to 883 of the family's 1533-position model. The record is from RNAcentral.